CAGUAGCCACGGUAAAACGUAGGGUGCGAGCGUUGUCCGGAAUUAUUGGGCGUAAAGAGCUUGUAGGCGGUCUGUCGCGUCUGCUGUGAAAACCCGAGGCUCAACCUCGGGCCUGCAGUGGGUACGGGCAGACUAGAGUGCGGUAGGGGAGAACGGAACUCCUGGUGUAGCGGUGGAAUGCGCAGAUAUCAGGAAGAACACCGAUGGCGAAGGCAGUUCUCUGGGCCGUAACUGACGCUGAGAAGCGAAAGCGUGGGGAGCGAACAGGAUUAGAUACCCCUGUAGUCCCUGUCUCUUAUAC
Molecule: ribosomal RNA, 301 nt
Filed under: uncultured bacterium
Lineage: Bacteria
Description: partial 16S ribosomal RNA
Rfam family: Bacterial small subunit ribosomal RNA
Source: RNAcentral